ACGGGCUUUAUAACAUUUAAUUGUAAAUUUAUGAAGAAAUAAAGAAAAGAUAUGUGCAAAAGCACGCCUUUUAUGAAUACGAUUACGUUGGUCAGAGUUUAUGAAAAUUACUUUAUUAUAAGUUACGUUAAACACGAAGUUUGCGUAAUUAAAAUCGCGCAAUUUCGCGGACUCCGUUUUAUGAGGAUAGAAUAUUAUAACUUUUGCAAUAGCAAAAAGAGUAUCCGAAUAAAAUGUUGUAAAAUUAUUUUAUUCAGAUAUUAUUCAGGCACUGCAAAAUGUUGCGAAAUAUAUCCGGCUUAGAAGGACUUUCUUAACGUAAAAGAGACUUUUUAACGAAGAUGCAAUUUCAUAUCUACUGAAACUCAUCGUAGCGUUUCGUCAUUAAAUUAUUUCACAAGAUUUUCACAGAUUUUGACCGCGUAAUUUUUCCUUCUGAUUUCUCAGAUCGGAUGUCUAUCGGAUUUCUUUAAUUGUUCUUAUUUGUUUUUUUUUUGAAACGCAUUCUGACAUUGAAGAGAAUGAUACGCAUGCACAAAAAAAAAAAACAAUUUUGCUGAAAUAUUUAAAAAUUUAGCAAUAUAUAAAUAUGAAAAUAAUUUUUUUUUUGUUGAACUGUCAAAAUAAUUAUGUAGGACGCUAAAGCGUGACGAACAAAAAAUCUUUGAGCAACCAAUUUUUAUGUCCUACACAAUUAUCUUGAUGACCUAAACACAAAAUUAUUUUCAAAUCUCUAUCUUAAAUUUGUAGACUCUCCAGCAUACAUCAUCGUUCUUUUCGUGCAGGUCUUCUCUAAAUGAUACUUAAAUAGAGAAAUAAAAAUUUUGUAUCAUAUGAUGAAUGAUUCGAUGUCGUUUUCCAUCACGCGUUACCGUGCUCUUAGAAAUGGGGCGAUGUCUGAAGGAAACACGGUAGAAAAUGUAUAGUCGAUGCUAUACACUCGAAGAAGUUCGAAUGACCUGACGAUAUCGGAGAAGUAAUCAACUGAAACAGUAAUAACCCAUUCGUUCGAAAUUGCAUAAAUAAAAGGGAAGCCGGAGAGUGUCCGCGGGAAAGCUUGUUAGAGUCCUUAUUCGAACUUUUAAUUCCGCGCUAUCCGCUCUGUAGGGAAUGCCACCGACUUUAAUUACCAGUUUAUUCAUUAGUGACAGUUGUCGAGUUUCGACGAGUAUGUGGAUAUCUCGUAGCUGCGUAGAUCUCGCGUCGCCGCAAAUAAUGUUACGGCCGCGCCGGCGCUCGAGAGUUUCGAACUCGUUUAAACAACUUCCCCAUUGUCGUCCAUACGGCAGCGUGCGACGGAAGCGCGGAAAUAUUUUUACUUGAUUAUGGAUAGCUCGCGCGCGCGCGCGCGAUGCGAACGCGAAGACGCGGCGGCUGCCACUCAAUAUGAUUGGAGCCUUGCUCGACGAACGGACUCCUGUGGAAACAAUCGUGUGAAUUGAUUAUAUUCGAUAUUCGCGGCUGAGCUGAUGACAUGAUGAAUCGAAAAAGAUAAUGUUAUCUUUGUAAAGGAAUCGUGGGAAGAACGGAGUGGAAAAUAUGGAGGGCUAUACGAAAGCGAUUUCUUUCAAAUUACAGGAAUACGUGGACAUUAUGUAUUCCGAUUCGAGCUUUAGGAUUGUCAAUAAAGGAAUGUGUUUUAAAUCAGUUUUGUAGUCGAAUUUAUUCACAUUCUCUGAAAGAACGAUAUUAAUUAAGUCUUUAAUUGAUGAGAAAUUGCCAUUCACGAAAAAAUCUACUCUCGAAAUAUCGUGAGUUUUAUUGCCCAUUCGCGUUUGCCACAAAACUCCAUGCAUUACAUCAUUUCGACUACGCAAUUGGACUCUACUGCGAAAUCCAUCUUCAUCGCACCGGCUAUCCUGGAGCGGCAUUAUGGAGCGCCAUUGACUUCGAAAUAGCAGUAGUAAAAAUAACGCAGAGUUUAUUCGAGAACUGUGCUCCCUGAACAGUCGUACACUCUAUACUUUUAGAAAAGACAAAACGCUCUCAAUUCUGGUACCGUAAAGUAUUAGAAUUUGAUUACUUCGACUGAUUAGGAUUUACAAACGAAGGCUAUUUAGGUCGUUAAGAGAAAGUGUAUUCACGAAAUUUUAUUUGCAUAAAUUUACCAUAAUUAUAAGACGUAAAUUUCUAAAAUUUGUUAUUUGUGAGCAAACUUUGUUUUUACUUUUAAUUGCUAAAUUGGAUCGAGUCGAUAUUUAUUGUGCAACCGAUUAGCGUUUGCAAAUAGAGAUUAUUUAAGUUGUGAAGAAAAAUCUUCACGAAAUUUUAAUUAUUUGGAUAAAUAAAGCGAAAUUACGAAAUUUAUGAGAUGCGAGUUUCUAAAUCUUGUUCUUUGUGAACGAAAGUUAUUUUGUGUAUCUGUUCGAUUCGGUCGAUUUGAUAUUAAUUGUGUAAUGAAAUGUCACCGUACAAGGUGUAAGAUAAAUAUCGUGAAUACCUGCUGUGAUAAUAUACAAUGACCUAGAUAAUUUGUUGCAUGACGCGAUAUAUGGUGUCGAAAAGUAUUUCUUUAAGGUUCUCAAAGGUUUACUAAUGUCACAAGCGUAUUAUGAGAAGGUUGCCGGGAACGAUGAUUUACGAUGGCAAUAACGUGGAAGAGAACGAGCCAACGAGGUUACGCCAAGUUGCACUGUUGAAUUCGCCACGUUGAUCAAGCUUAAAAGAUUAAGUCAUACAAGUAUAUUUCUGUUCUGAUUAUAGAUUGAAUUUACGCGGAAAUUGUGUUUUUUCGCGCAUGAAAUGAGGCAACUUUUAUCUUAACCGUAAACAUUCGAUACGCGAUGAUUUCAAUAUUUUGCAGCGUUUAUUUGGACUACUAUACAUUAUAUUUGCAAAGUGGUUUGCAAAAUUAUCAUGUACGAAGAGUUUUGAAAUUUCUUAUUUUAUCUAGUGUAUUAAGAAUUUAAUAUUGCCUUGUUAACUUUUCAAUUACAAUUGCGUAAAUUUCCAUAACGUUAAUAUUUAUACCCUCUUUUUACUGCGCGAUAAAAAGUAAAGUAUGCCGUAACAUUACGCCAUUUUGCUUCAAUUUGGACGUAAGUAUAAAAAAGAAAAAAUUUUCAGAAGUGUACAUAUUUACACUAUAAGUAUAAAUAUAAUUAUACAAUAGACUCAUAGGACAAUUAUUCAGUAAAAAACUUGUAGAUAAAUUCGGUCUUUUAGAUUUUUGUGUUGAAUUUUCAACAUAUUCGAACGUUAAUUUAACUUAAUGUGAUUAUGUUAAAAUAAUGAUUAAUGUCAAUAAGUAAUUAUUUAUGUGUUUAAUAAGAAUUUUGAAUAUGUUGCGAAGAAUUGCGGUUUAUCUAUACUUGUAAUUUAUUUUAUACUGAAGACGGCCCGAAAUAGGGUCAAGGUUGAAACAUUUAUGUCACGUUAGGAAACUAUUGAUUUAUGCGUGUGAUAAUAAAUUGAAGUAUAAUUUUCCAUCCAAAAUCGAUUGUUAUUGGCAUUGAUCGUUAUUUUACUAGAUUUAUUUGUCAGAGUGAAUUUCUGCAUUGAUUGUGAUGACUGUAUUAUUUAAAUUGAUAGUCAACAUUUCUUAUUGUUGAAAAUAAUGUUAUCUUCGUCAAAAUUCGUUCUCUUGUCAUAAUAAGUUAUAGGAUAACACGAUGACGUUAUAUUGCUGACAAUGUAAAGUAACUUUAAAAUAACACCAUUUAUCGGUGAAUGAACACAAAUACAAAAGUAAUAUAAUUUUGAAACAUACAUUUUCUAAGAUAAUUAAACAGGCAUUGUACAUAAUAUUUUUGUUACUUUCUAACAUAUUUAUCUUGUGUUAAAUUAAUCUAAAAUAAAAAUUCGAACAACCUCUCCGAAAUUGGCGAUAUAUAUUUAAAUUUAACACAAUUUUUAAAACUGUGUAGGUCGUAUAAAAGUAAUGAUUAUUCAUCAGUCUUUAUUUAUAUAACAGAGUUGGAAGAUAUCAUUAGCAAAGAGAUUAUAAUAUUCGCUUUAUAUAAGAAUAUAUUUAUGUGAUAAAACUGGACGCAAUGCGUAACAGAAAUUCAAUCGAUAUUUUCUCGUAAUAAUAUAAUAGCAAUCGCGGUGUACUCUCCGCAUAUAAACUAUAGCGAGAUACAAACUCAUAUUCACAUCAUUAUUUACAUUAUGUGUGAAUUACUAUAUGGCGAAACACAUAAUGCGUUGAUGGCAAUAAUAAAAUAAAAACGG
RNAcentral lists this long non-coding RNA (4173 nucleotides) under Monomorium pharaonis (pharaoh ant). RNAcentral describes it as "uncharacterized LOC118644600". The record is from RNAcentral. Lineage: Eukaryota; Metazoa; Arthropoda; Insecta; Hymenoptera; Formicidae.